This 1415-nucleotide ribosomal RNA is filed under the name metagenome. Its description in RNAcentral is "bacterial LSU rRNA". It matches the Rfam family "Bacterial large subunit ribosomal RNA", at positions 1514 to 2925 of the family's 2925-position model. The record is from RNAcentral.
AAGGCGUAGGAGGCUUAGGCCGCAAACGCGCUUUCAAUCCCGAGAGGUGAUGAGGGUCGCCGCAAGGCGGACAACUUGAUGAUUCCAGGCUUCCAAGAAAAGCUUCGCGUGAGUGUAUCGCUGUGCUGUCCGUACCGUAAACCGACACAGGUGGGUGGGGAGAACAUCCCAAGGCGCUUGAGAGAACUCGGGUUAAGGAACUCGGCAAAUUGACACCGUAACUUCGGGAGAAGGUGUGCCCUUGAGGGUGAAGAGCUUCGCGCUUGGAGCCUUUGGGGGUUGCAGAGAAUCGGGGGUAGCGACUGUUUAUCAAAAACACAGGACUCUGCGAAGUCGCAAGACGACGUAUAGGGUCUGACGCCUGCCCGGUGCCGGAAGGUUAACAGGAGAUGUCAGCGCAAGCAAAGCAUCGAAUCGAAGCCCCGGUAAACGGCGGCCGUAACGAUAACGGUCCUAAGGUAGCGAAAUUCCUUGGCGGGUAAGUUCCGUCCUGCACGAAUGGCGUAACGACUUCCCCACUGUCUCGACCCGGGACUCAGCGAAAUUGAAUUCGGGGUGAAGAUGCCCCGUACCCGCGGAAAGACGGAAAGACCCCGUGAACCUUUACUGCAGCUUGGCACUGGUUUUCGGAUUUGUCUGUGUAGGAUAGGUGGGAGGCUGUGAAGUGGGGCCGCUAGGUUUCACAGAGCCAACGUUGAAAUACCACCCUGACAAAUCUGAAAGCCUAACCGCGACCCGUAAGCCGGGUCCGGAACACUGCCUGGUGGGUAGUUUGACUGGGGCGGUCACCUCCGAAAGAGUAACGGAGGCGCGCAAAGGUUCCCUCAGGCUGAUUGGAAACCAGCCGUAGAGUGUAAAAGCACAAGGGAGCUUGACUGCAACUCAUACGAGAGGAGCAGGUACGAAAGUAGGCUUUAGUGAUCCGGUGGUUCUGAAUGGAAGGGCCAUCGCUCAACGGAUAAAAGGUACUCCGGGGAUAACAGGCUUAUCACGCCCAAGAGUUCACAUCGACGGCGUGGUUUGGCACCUCGAUGUCGGCUCAUCGCAUCCUGGGGCUGUAGUAGGUCCCAAGGGUUUGGCUGUUCGCCAAUUAAAGCGGUACGCGAGCUGGGUUCAAAACGUCGUGAGACAGUUUGGUCCCUAUCUUCCGUGGGCGCAGGAGUCUUGAAGUGGAUCUGUCCCUAGUACGAGAGGACCGGGAUGGACGAACCCCUGGUGUUCCGGUUGUUUUGCCAGAGGCAUUGCCGGGUAGCUAUGUUCGGAGAGGAUAACCGCUGAAAGCAUCUAAGCGGGAAACCAACCACAAGAUGAGGACUCCCUGAAGGUCCGUCGUAGACCACGACGUUGAUAGGUCGGGUGUGGAAGUGCGGCAACGCAUGGAGCUAACCGAUACUAAUAGACCGUUUGGCUUGACU